GGAGAAGGACCACAGCUCAAGGCUAGGGCAUCUGCCUUGCAUGCUGAAGAUCCUAGGUUCAACUCCCAGCAUCUCCA
Non-coding RNA from Podarcis lilfordi (Lilford's wall lizard), 77 nucleotides. Lineage: Eukaryota; Metazoa; Chordata; Lepidosauria; Squamata; Lacertidae. The record is from the annotation of a GenBank genome assembly.